ACCUUGUAAAAUUAGAACUAUAACAAUUUUAAAAAGGGCCUAAAAACGAAUAUUUUUAUACUGCUGAAAUCUGUUUCUUCUGCUUAUCUGUUUCUUCAACUAAAUUAAUAAGUCAAAACCAUGUAUAGGUUUGUGAAAAGCCCUUAAAACAAUCAUGUUUGCCCUGCAGACAAACUUAUGAAGCAAAAAUACAUUUUUUAAAUUUGUUUAUGUUGUAGAAACUAAAUGUAAAAUAACAAUGUUAACUCUGUGACCUAUUUUCAACAUGGCGGGUACUAGGAUCUAGGAUACAUUGAGCAACUGUGGAGCAAAGCACAUCGUCUUUAAAGUGUUAAAACAUAAUGCUUUCUUAAUUUUAUGAAGAACACGCACUAGAGAUGCUUAGGUACAUCUCAGAAGGAUUGGUGUGCACCGGAAUAUCACAAGAAAUGACCAUAGCAGCUGGUCGUCCUUAGAAUGUGCAUUUUUUUUGUUGAACCACUUCAGACUGUUGUCAGGCUUGGGUUCCUCAAUAUAUCCAGCUCAUCGAUUUAGCUCUGGAUGUUUGUUGUAAGGGCUUUGUUACAUGUGUUAUCAUAACACAAACAGUUAAGAGACAGCUUGUAGACAGCUUCAUUAGGACUUUCUUACCCAGAAUCAAAGAUUUUACAUCCUAGGCCUGGAUUUGAACCUUGACCUGGACAAUCUUACAGAUAAUAAUAGAAGAGUUACCUGAAAUUGCACAGGCAAAUUCAUCAGAUUCAGAUGUGAGCACCAACUCUGUCUUUCUAUCAUGAAAUUCUGGUAGCUACAUCAUGCAUAUUUGAUUUCAUUUUCAAUCAUUGUUUUUACUUAUGCAAUAUGUUUGAUCAGUAUAUUGUUUAGUCAUUGUUUUUAUACAGCAAUUAACAUAAGUUUAAAAUAUGUUUAAUACAUUUUCUUUUGACAGCCUGUCCUGCCAUCUUCAGGUAAUCGCAGUAGUGGAUAUCCUGGCGAACCAUUAUUGGACUUAGAGCCACCUUGGGACAAUCCCCCAUAACAAAUAUGCAUCUUAGGCUUGGCAUUCUCACUCAGUUUUGUAGGAAAGGAGGAUUGGCACCACUGGAUUGACAAAUAUUGACAAUUGACAGUUCAGUCACACUAAACUAUAGUGGCAUGUUGCUUCAAGUUACCACACUUAUUCUAAGAUUGCUGAAUUAUCAUUACUGUCUAAGGAGACCCUAGAUCUCUCAACCAGAAGAAGAAACUUGGGGAUCAAUCAGUUAUAAGAUUAAAAACUGUUGUGUUCAGUAUAUGGAAAAGAUGACCGUGAUAUUGGAACCUUGGGGAUUCAUAACUUGAUUUCACUCCUGUGAAAAGUAACUGCUUUGUUCUUUUACUGUCCAAUUAAUAAUAUGAAAAUAAAAUACUCCUGUCAUUGUAU
Molecule: long non-coding RNA, 1402 nt
Organism: Lingula anatina
Lineage: Eukaryota; Metazoa; Brachiopoda; Lingulata; Lingulida; Lingulidae
Source: RefSeq, a predicted model, not a curated record